Molecule: ribosomal RNA, 466 nt
Filed under: uncultured bacterium
Lineage: Bacteria
Description: partial 16S ribosomal RNA
Rfam family: Bacterial small subunit ribosomal RNA
Source: RNAcentral
GACGAACGCUGGCGGCGUGCUUAACACAUGCAAGUCGAACGGAAAGGCCCUGCUUGCCGGGUACUCGAGUGGGGAAGGGGGGAGUAACACGUGGGUGACCUGCCCUGCACGGGGGGAUAAGCUUGGGAAACUGGGGGUAAGACCGGAUAGGAGGACGCGUGAGUGUGGUGGUUGGAAAGUGGUUUCGGGGUAGGAUGAGUGCGCGGAAGCGCAGCUUGAGGGUGGGGGAGUGGCCUACCAAGGCGGCGACGGGUAGCCGGCCUGAGAGGGUGUACGGCCACAUUGGCACGGAGAUACGGCCGCGACUCCUACGGGAGGCAGCAGUGGGGAAUAUUGCACAAGGGGCGCAAUCCUGAUGCAGCGACGCCGCGUGGGGGAUGAAGGCCUUCGGGUUCUAAACUCCUUUCGCUAGGGACGAAGCGUUGUUGUGACGGUACCUAGAUAAGAAGCACCGGCUAACUACGUG